GAUGAGCGCUGGCGGCGUGCCUAAUACAUGCAAGUCGAGCGAACGGACGAGAAGCUUGCUUCUCUGAUGUUAGCGGCGGACGGGUGAGUAACACGUGGAUAACCUACCUAUAAGACUGGGAUAACUUCGGGAAACCGGAGCUAAUACCGGAUAAUAUUUUGAACCGCAUGGUUCAAAAGUGAAAGACGGUCUUGCUGUCACUUAUAGAUGGAUCCGCGCUGCAUUAGCUAGUUGGUAAGGUAACGGCUUACCAAGGCAACGAUGCAUAGCCGACCUGAGAGGGUGAUCGGCCACACUGGAACUGAGACACGGUCCAGACUCCUACGGGAGGCAGCAGUAGGGAAUCUUCCGCAAUGGGCGAAAGCCUGACGGAGCAACGCCGCGUGAGUGAUGAAGGUCUUCGGAUCGUAAAACUCUGUUAUUAGGGAAGAACAAAUGUGUAAGUAACUAUGCACGUCUUGACGGUACCUAAUCAGAAAGCCACGGCUAACUACGUGCCAGCAGCCGCGGUAAUACGUAGGUGGCAAGCGUUAUCCGGAAUUAUUGGGCGUAAAGCGCGCGUAGGCGGUUUUUUAAGUCUGAUGUGAAAGCCCACGGCUCAACCGUGGAGGGUCAUUGGAAACUGGAAAACUUGAGUGCAGAAGAGGAAAGUGGAAUUCCAUGUGUAGCGGUGAAAUGCGCAGAGAUAUGGAGGAACACCAGUGGCGAAGGCGACUUUCUGGUCUGUAACUGACGCUGAUGUGCGAAAGCGUGGGGAUCAAACAGGAUUAGAUACCCUGGUAGUCCACGCCGUAAACGAUGAGUGCUAAGUGUUAGGGGGUUUCCGCCCCUUAGUGCUGCAGCUAACGCAUUAAGCACUCCGCCUGGGGAGUACGACCGCAAGGUUGAAACUCAAAGGAAUUGACGGGGACCCGCACAAGCGGUGGAGCAUGUGGUUUAAUUCGAAGCAACGCGAAGAACCUUACCAAAUCUUGACAUCCUCUGACCCCUCUAGAGAUAGAGUUUUCCCCUUCGGGGGACAGAGUGACAGGUGGUGCAUGGUUGUCGUCAGCUCGUGUCGUGAGAUGUUGGGUUAAGUCCCGCAACGAGCGCAACCCUUAAGCUUAGUUGCCAUCAUUAAGUUGGGCACUCUAAGUUGACUGCCGGUGACAAACCGGAGGAAGGUGGGGAUGACGUCAAAUCAUCAUGCCCCUUAUGAUUUGGGCUACACACGUGCUACAAUGGACAAUACAAAGGGUAGCGAAACCGCGAGGUCAAGCAAAUCCCAUAAAGUUGUUCUCAGUUCGGAUUGUAGUCUGCAACUCGACUAUAUGAAGCUGGAAUCGCUAGUAAUCGUAGAUCAGCAUGCUACGGUGAAUACGUUCCCGGGUCU
This 1372-nucleotide ribosomal RNA is filed under the name uncultured bacterium. Its description in RNAcentral is "bacterial SSU rRNA". It matches the Rfam family "Bacterial small subunit ribosomal RNA", at positions 28 to 1381 of the family's 1533-position model. The record is from RNAcentral.